UGGUGGGUUGCCUUGUCAGGUUGAUUCCGGUAACGAACGAGACCUCAGCCUGCUAAAUAGUCACGGUCGCUUUUUGCGGCCGGUUGACUUCUUAGAGGGACUAUUGGCGUUCUAGUCAAUGGAAGUAUGAGGCAAUAACA
Molecule: ribosomal RNA, 140 nt
Filed under: uncultured eukaryote
Lineage: Eukaryota
Description: partial 18S ribosomal RNA
Rfam family: Eukaryotic small subunit ribosomal RNA
Source: RNAcentral